This 253-nucleotide ribosomal RNA is filed under the name uncultured bacterium. Its description in RNAcentral is "partial 16S ribosomal RNA". It matches the Rfam family "Bacterial small subunit ribosomal RNA", at positions 524 to 776 of the family's 1533-position model. The record is from RNAcentral.
UGCGGGGGGGGCAAGCGUUGUUCGGAAUUACUGGGCGUAAAGGGCUCGUAGGCGGCCAACUAAGUCAGACGUGAAAUCCCUCGGCUUAACCGGGGAACUGCGUCUGAUACUGGAUGGCUCGAGUUUGGGAGAGGGAUGCGGAAUUCCAGGUGUAGCGGUGAAAUGUGUAGAUAUCUGGAGGAACACCGGUGGCGAAGGCGGCAUCCUGGACCAACACUGACGCUGAUGAGCGAAAGCCAGGGGAGCAAACGGG